RNAcentral lists this small RNA (134 nucleotides) under Pseudolactococcus piscium. RNAcentral describes it as "Lactococcus piscium L20_leader". It matches the Rfam family "Ribosomal protein L20 leader". From Rfam's summary of the family: This family is a putative r-protein leader autoregulatory structure found in B. subtilis and other low-GC Gram-positive bacteria. The record is from RNAcentral. Lineage: Bacteria; Bacillati; Bacillota; Bacilli; Lactobacillales; Streptococcaceae.
GUUGAAAAGCAGAAAGCCCCCCGCUUUCUCGCCAAUAUUGCGUAAGCUACUUGGCAUCAAAAUGAAUUUAUUCUCUGGUUUCAGAGUUCAUUUAUAGCGGGCUUUCUACGGAAAGUCCGUUUUGUUUUUCAAUG